AUAAUUUGGCCUGAAAAGCCUUGCAGAGGCUUUUUCCAAGCCUCUGGGAGGCCAAAAAAGGUCUCAAACCAACUGAAAAAAAAAUCAGAUGUGAGGUGUGUGCAUGUGCAGUGAGAUAAGCUUGCCUGCGGCUCGUGUGACAGCACAAAUGGCUCUGCGUGCCACUUGUGGCACACAUGCCAUAGGUUCGCCAUCACAGACCUCAGAGAACCAAUU
Pseudonaja textilis is the source of this 216-nucleotide non-coding RNA. Lineage: Eukaryota; Metazoa; Chordata; Lepidosauria; Squamata; Elapidae. The record is from RefSeq and is a predicted model, not a curated record.